UACGAAGGGGGCUAGCGUUGCUCGGAAUCACUGGGCGUAAAGCGCACGUAGGCGGAUCUUUAAGUCAGGGGUGAAAUCCUGGAGCUCAACUCCAGAACUGCCUUUGAUACUGGGGAUCUCGAGUCCGGGAGAGGUGAGUGGAACUGCGAGUGUAGAGGUGAAAUUCGUAGAUAUUGGGAAGAACACCAGUGGCGAAGGCGGCUAACUGGUCCAGCACUGACGCUGAGGUGCGAAAGCGUGGGGAGCAAACAGG
RNAcentral lists this ribosomal RNA (253 nucleotides) under uncultured bacterium. Its description in RNAcentral is "partial 16S ribosomal RNA". It matches the Rfam family "Bacterial small subunit ribosomal RNA", at positions 524 to 776 of the family's 1533-position model. The record is from RNAcentral.